Non-coding RNA from Procambarus clarkii (red swamp crayfish), 947 nucleotides. The record is from RefSeq and is a predicted model, not a curated record. Lineage: Eukaryota; Metazoa; Arthropoda; Malacostraca; Decapoda; Cambaridae.
GUCUGGUCCUGAUGUACAACACAGAGUACGCAGGAUAUGACUGUGCCAACUUCCCAGGAGGCACGCUGGGUUUCUUCCCAUCUCUCCUACAGUGUCUGAAGUAUUCCUGUGCUGGAAUGGUCUGCAGAGAUCCUAAUGCCUGCUGGCUCAAGGCUUCAACUCAUAUCAUACAAAGCAAUUCACCAUCUACCUCAACGUACAUUUACUGGUAUACAAAGUGCCAGUAGUAGUCUCAUCGAGGCACUUCUUCAUAUGUCCAUAGACAACUUACUUCCAAGCAGAGGAAUUAAAGUUGCAGACAGCAUGAGAUCGUUGCAAGAUGUUCCAUAGUUAUUAAAAAGAUAUUCAGAAGACUAAUGCUUUACAGAGAUGCCAUAAAUAUUCAUCUUUUUUUCUGCACGCCACUAUAAACUACUGUUUAAGUGAUGAUUGUAAGUAAACUGUGUUUUAGAAGAACAGAUGACAGAUAUCAAAGUAUAUACACAGUAUAAAGGCUGAUUGAAAAACUAAACCAGAUAGCUGAGAGAGUAUUAGGAAAUCAUCUCUCUUUUUUUUUCUUUUAGCUAACUGUGGAAUCUGAAGUAUCUGAGCAAUCAGCUGGUGUCAAUAGUCAGUGCUGCCAGUACAGUUCUGCCAAGAGUACAGGAAUACUAAUUUGAAUGUUUUGACAGGUACAUUAAUCUGCAAGCAUAAUUAUGAAAAUAUAUAACUAAUGUAAGGCGGGGCAAAUCUGAAAAUGAAAUCAAUAUUAAUUUGCCAAUUUUGUCAGUGAUAAUUUUCCUGAAUUGUUAAGAUAAUUGGGCUAAUGAUAUAUACUAGGUAAUUAUUUUUCCUCAUUAUUGAUAUUUGUGUUAAAUUUAUCUAAUUUGCAAAGAGUAAAUAUUUGCCAGAAUAAUGGUUGUGUGUCAGUCUCAACAAGAGGUUUAACUUGAUAUAAUCUAUAAAUA